AACGAACGCUGGCGGCAGGCCUAACACAUGCAAGUCGAACGCUCCGCAAGGGGAGCGGCGCACGGGUGAGUAACGCGUGGGAAUCUACCUAUUAGUAAGGAAUAACAGUUGGAAACGACUGCUAAUACCUUAUACGCCCUACGGGGGAAAGAUUUAUCGCUAAUAGAUGAGCCCGCGUAAGAUUAGCUAGUUGGUGAGGUAAUGGCUCACCAAGGCUACGAUCUUUAGCUGGUCUGAGAGGAUGAUCAGCCACACUGGAACUGAGACACGGUCCAGACUCCUACGGGAGGCAGCAGUGGGGAAUAUUGGACAAUGGGCGAAAGCCUGAUCCAGCCAUGCCGCGUGAAUGAUGAAGGCCUUAGGGUUGUAAAGUUCUUUCGCCGCCGGGGAUAAUGACGGUAAGCGGAUAAGAAGCCCCGGCUAACUUCGUGCCAGCCGCCGCCGUAA
RNAcentral lists this ribosomal RNA (447 nucleotides) under uncultured bacterium. Its description in RNAcentral is "partial 16S ribosomal RNA". It matches the Rfam family "Bacterial small subunit ribosomal RNA", at positions 29 to 523 of the family's 1533-position model. The record is from RNAcentral.